AGAGUUUGAUCAUGGCUCAGCUUGAACGCUGGCGGCAUGGCUAAGACAUGCAAGUCGAGCGAGAAUCUAACUUCGGUUAGAGGACAGCGGCGAAAGGGCGAGUAACGCGAUCGUACGUACCCCAAGGUGGAGGAUAGUCACGGGAAACUGUGCGGAAUACUCCAUGUGCUCUAAGGCUUCGGAUCAAAGGCUUGCCGCCUCGGGAGCGGGGAACGUCCUAUCAGGUUGUUGGUGAGGUAACGGCUCACCAAGCCGGAGACGGGUAGCGGGUGUGAGAGCAUGACCCGCCGCAUCGGGACUGAGACACUGCCCGGACUCCUACGGGAGGCUGCAGUAACGAAUCUUCCGCAAUGCGCGAAAGCGUGACGGAGCAAUGCCGCGUGUAGGAUGAAGCCUCUCGGGGUGUAAACCACUGUCAGGUGUCAGUAAGAAACUGAACAGCACCAAAGGAAGGGCCGGCUAACUUCGUGCCAGCAGCCGCGGUAAUACGAAGGGCCCGAGCGUUAAGCGGAAUCACUGGGCUUAAAGCGUACGUAGGCGGACUAAUAGGCAUCUUGUGAAAUCCCACGGCUCAACCGUGGAACUGCUCGAUGAACCAUAGAUCUUGAGGCAGGUAGGGGCUGUCGGAACGAUAGGGGGAGUGGUGAAAUGCGUUGAUAUCUAUCGGAACACCGAAGGAGAAAUCAGACAGCUGGGCCUCUCCUGACGCUAAGGUACGAAAGCGUGGGUAGCGAACGGGAUUAGAUACCCCGGUAGUCCACGCCGUAAACGAUGUGCACUAGAUCGAGGGGGUUUUGACGCCGCUCUGGUCGAAGCGAAAGUGUUAAGUGCACCGCCUGGGGAGUACGGUCGCAAGGCUAAAACUCAAAGGAAUUGACGGGGGCUCACACAAGCGGUGGAGCAUGUGGCUUAAUUCGAAGCAACGCGAAGAACCUUAUCCAGGGCUUGACAACGGCGGAUUAGCUUCCUGAAAGGGAAGUGACACCCUUGGGUGGAACGUACACAGGCGCUGCAUGGCUGUCGUCAGCUCGUGCUGUGAAGUGUCGGGUUAAGUCCCUUAACGAGCGCAACCCCUGUCGUUAGUUGCUAACAGGUAAUGCUGAGGACUCUAGCGAGACUGCCGGUGUCAAACCGGAGGAAGGUGGGGAUGACGUCAAGUCCGCAUGGCCUUUAUGCCCAGGGCUGCACACGUGCUACAAUGGUCGGUACAGAACGACGCAAUACCGCGAGGUGGAGCAAAUCGCUUAAAGCCGGCCCCAGUUCGGAUUGCAGGCUGCAACUCGCCUGCAUGAAGUUGGAAUCGCUAGUAAUCGGAGAUCAGCUACGCUCCGGUGAAUACGUUCCUGAGCCUUGUACACACCGCCCGUCAAGUCAUGGAAGCUGGCAGCGCCCGAAGUCGCCUCGAUUCAGGGGUGCCCACGGUGAGGCUGGUGACUGGGACUAAGUCGUAACAAGGUA
This 1458-nucleotide ribosomal RNA is filed under the name uncultured prokaryote. RNAcentral describes it as "partial 16S ribosomal RNA". It matches the Rfam family "Bacterial small subunit ribosomal RNA". The record is from RNAcentral.